UGACUUUGGUCACAGUCAAACUGCUUUAAGUUUGACCAUGUUUAUAGAAAAAAAUAGUAAUAUUUUCGACCCAAGAUAAAUUUAUUACAAAAAUAUAUUUAAUUAUUAAUUUAAUAAAACUAAUUUGGUAAUGUAAAUAUUACUAUAUUUGUCUAUAAACUUAGUCAAACUUAAAGCAGUUUGACUUUGACUAAAGUCAA
Molecule: non-coding RNA, 200 nt
Organism: Oryza glumipatula
Lineage: Eukaryota; Viridiplantae; Streptophyta; Magnoliopsida; Poales; Poaceae
Source: Rfam